Long non-coding RNA from Corapipo altera (White-ruffed manakin), 253 nucleotides. RefSeq lists it as uncharacterized. The record is from RefSeq and is a predicted model, not a curated record. NCBI's taxonomy places the organism in Eukaryota, Metazoa, Chordata, Aves, Passeriformes, Pipridae. The transcript is spliced from 3 exons.
CACGUGCGUGCCGUCGCACCACCAGUGACGUCAUCACCGAGCGCCAGGGCUCCCCGGCAGCGUGAGGGGCCCGCAGCGAUGACCCGCUCCCGGCGACAGGUGGAGGCGGCGCGGAAAAAGCGCGUCCAGGGCCGACGGGCCGCGGGAGUGAAGGGGCUGAAGAAGGACCCGGGGGUGCCGCAGCUCGGCCGCUUCGCCGCGCCCGGGCAGAGCCAGAGCGAGACCCGGCAGGGCAGGGUGAGAACCGGGGGGG